RNAcentral lists this ribosomal RNA (734 nucleotides) under uncultured archaeon. RNAcentral describes it as "bacterial SSU rRNA". It matches the Rfam family "Archaeal small subunit ribosomal RNA", at positions 102 to 835 of the family's 1478-position model. The record is from RNAcentral.
GGAUAACCUACCCUUAGGACCGGGAUAACCUUGGGAAACUGAGGAUAAUACUGGAUAGGCAAUUAUUCCUGGAAUGGUUUUUUGUUUAAAUGUUUUUUCGCCUAAGGAUGGGUCUGCGGCCGAUUAGGUAGUUGGUUAGGUAACGGCUUACCAAGCCAUUGAUCGGUACGGGUUGUGAGAGCAAGAGCCCGGAGAUGGAACCUGAGACAAGGUUCCAGGCCCUACGGGGUGCAGCAGGCGCGAAACCUCCGCAAUGUGAGAAAUCGCGACGGGGGGAUCCCAAGUGCCAUUCUUAACGGGAUGGCUUUUCAUUAGUGUAAAGAGCUUUUGGAAUAAGGGCUGGGCAAGACCGGUGCCAGCCGCCGCGGUAACACCGGCAGCUCUAGUGGUAGCAGUUUUUAUUGGGCCUAAAGCGUCCGUAGCCGGUUUAAUAAGUCUCUGGUGAAAUCCUGUAGCUUAACUGUGGGAAUUGCUGGAGAUACUAUUAGACUUGAGACCGGGAGAGGUUAGAGGUACUCCCAGGGUAGAGGUGAAAUUCUGUAAUCCUGGGAGGACCGCCUGUUGCGAAGGCGUCUAACUGGAACGGUUCUGACGGUGAGGGACGAAAGUUAGGGGCGCGAACCGGAUUAGAUACCCGGGUAGUCCUAACCGUAAACGAUGCGGACUUGGUGUUGGGGUGGCUUUGAGCUGCUCCAGUGCCGAAAGGGAAGCUGUUAAGUCCGCCGCCUGGGAAG